GGAGGCCAUGUGCCAGCGUCGAGGAGCACAUCCGCGAUGAUUUUGGGCUGGCAAUGUCAUUCUAGUGGCUGGCAGCGGCGGAGCCCAGGCGGGCCGCUGCAAAGAGGAACUCCACUGGAAGAAAUCGAGGUGUCAUGGGCGGGUAACGCCGUUCCCGUGCCUGGCACCACCAGAGACGGGGCAGCCCGCUGCGAAGAGUAGCUCCACCAGGUUGUCUCACGACGAAGGCCAUGCACUGGCUCGACGAGGUGUGAUGCGCGGGCGUGCCAUCCCCGUGCCAGGCGCAGGCGAAGCUGAGGCGGGCUGCUGCGGAGAGAGCUCCACCAGGGUGUUGAGCGACGGAGGCGAGCUGGCAUGGUGGAGACGGGGGCUCUCCACCGAUGCUUCCACCUCGCUACCGUUGUCGUCUUGCUUCCUGGAUCUCCUGCAAGCUCACCAUUAUAGCCCAAGAAGCAACGGUGGUGCCGGAGUUGAGUCCAGUCAGUAACACUAGCGCUAGUUCCUUCCAUGAUCCUGUAGGCCGAGAGCUGGGUCUCUGGUGAAGCUGGAAUUGAAGAAGCUUUCACCUGAAUUAGCCUAAAUGUGUCUGUUCGUCAUGUUUGUUCUAAACCAACCUCUGUUAUAGUCCAGGUAGAUACAAUCUUUGUUCAGUUGUAGCCAAAGAAGAAGAGAUGGUUAGUAAUUAAGAGUAGUAAUCAGUACUUUGUAGAACUUUGUAGUCCAUGUAGAUACAAUCUUUAUUCAGUUGUAGCCAAAGAAGAAGAGAUCUUUGUUCAGUUGUAGUCGAAGAAGAAGAGGUAAAACCCUA
Triticum aestivum (bread wheat) is the source of this 808-nucleotide long non-coding RNA. RefSeq lists it as uncharacterized. The transcript has 2 exons. The record is from RefSeq and is a predicted model, not a curated record. Lineage: Eukaryota; Viridiplantae; Streptophyta; Magnoliopsida; Poales; Poaceae.